GGAGAGAUGGCCGAGUGGUCGAAGGCGCACGCCUGGAAAGUGUGUAGACGCCGAAAGCGUCUCCAGGGUUCGAAUCCCUGUCUCUCCG
This 88-nucleotide transfer RNA is filed under the name Bacteroidales bacterium OttesenSCG-928-E04. RNAcentral's name for it is "tRNA-Ser". It matches the Rfam family "tRNA". From Rfam's summary of the family: Transfer RNA (tRNA) molecules are approximately 80 nucleotides in length. Their secondary structure includes four short double-helical elements and three loops (D, anti-codon, and T loops). Further hydrogen bonds mediate the characteristic L-shaped molecular structure. tRNAs have two regions of fundamental functional importance: the anti-codon, which is responsible for specific mRNA codon recognition, and the 3' end, to which the tRNAs corresponding amino acid is attached (by aminoacyl-tRNA synthetases). tRNAs cope with the degeneracy of the genetic code in two manners: having more than one tRNA (with a specific anti-codon) for a particular amino acid; and 'wobble' base-pairing, i.e. permitting non-standard base-pairing at the 3rd anti-codon position. Lineage: Bacteria; Pseudomonadati; Bacteroidota; Bacteroidia; Bacteroidales. RNAcentral also lists the same sequence under 2 other names. The record is from RNAcentral.